This 217-nucleotide long non-coding RNA is filed under the name Lathyrus oleraceus (garden pea). RNAcentral's name for it is "Pisum sativum (pea) long non-coding RNA (PSAT_LNC031321)". Lineage: Eukaryota; Viridiplantae; Streptophyta; Magnoliopsida; Fabales; Fabaceae. The record is from RNAcentral.
GGUUCUGUUGGUGACUUGGUUCUGAUGGUGACUUUGUGUUCAGACAGUGUUCAGUUAACCUUAAGUUGGAUUUAUGUUCUGAUUUUGACUGAAGCUUCGACCUAGUGAUCAGGGAUUGCACAAACAGCCAGUCCAGUCUGCAUCAUUUGCAUCAUAGCAUAUUUAUUUUUCAAAAGAAACGCAAUGAAAAAAUCAAAAAAAAAAAAAGAAGAGAAAA